GGGAAACUGUGGGUAAUACCGGGCGACGUUGCGAGGGGACAUCCUCUUGCAACCAAAUGAAUUUCGCCUGGGGAGCGGCUCACGUCGUAUUAGCUAGUUGGUGAGGUAACGGCCCACCAAGGCUGAGAUGCGUAGCGGGUGUGAGAGCACGACCCGCGCCACUGGCACUGAGACACUGGCCAGACACUUACGGGUGGCUGCAGUCGAGGAUCUUCGGCAAUGGGCGCAAGCCUGACCGAGCGACGCCGCGUGUGGGAUGAAGGCCUUCGGGUUGUAAACCACUGUCGAGGGGGAGAAAGGCGCAAGCUUGAUCUAUCCCUGGAGGAAGCACGGGCUAAGUUCGUGCCAGCAGCCGCGGUAAGACGAACCGUGCGAACGUUGUUCGGAUUCACUGGGCUUAAAGGGCGCGUAGGCGGCUAGACCAGUCUGUGGUGAAAUCUUUCGGCUUAACCGGAAAAUUGCCGUGGAUACUGUCUGGCUCGAGGAAGGUAGGGGCAACUGGAACGGCCAGUGGAGCGGUGAAAUGCGUUGAUAUUGGCAGGAACGCCGGUGGCGAAAGCGAGUUGCUGGACCUUUUCUGACGCUGAGGCGCGAAAGCUAGGGAAGCAAACGGGAUUAGAUACCCCGGUAGUCCUAGCCCUAAACGAUGAGAACUAGGUUGUGGACUUGACAUGGGUUCACAGCCGAAGCAAAAGUGCUAAGUUCUCCGCCCGGGGAGUAUGGUCGCAAGGCUGAAACUCAAAGGAAUUGACGGGGGCUCACACAAGCGGUGGAGCAUGUGGCUUAAUUCGAGGCUACGCGAAGAACCUUA
This 811-nucleotide ribosomal RNA is filed under the name uncultured bacterium. Its description in RNAcentral is "bacterial SSU rRNA". It matches the Rfam family "Bacterial small subunit ribosomal RNA", at positions 151 to 973 of the family's 1533-position model. The record is from RNAcentral.